AUUAACCUUUUGAGCUCGGUCUCGUGGGUUUUGAAGAGCUUCCAAGCCCUUCCGAUUCCCCAGUUUGGGAUCUCCUGGUGUACUUUUUCCUACGGUUAGUCAACAUCGGUUUUGAAUGUCAUAAAAUGACUGGAGGAAUGUAGCUUUGAUCUCCUAUUGAAGUGUUAUAGCCUUUGCUAGAUGUGAUGUUUGAGACCCAGGAUUGCAACGGAUACCCUUCCGGGCUAUUCGUCUGAUCUCUGAUACGUUGCCCUGAUGUUGAAAGCUUGCCUUAUGAUGUUAGGGUAUUACGGUCAAAAGGUUAGAACGAAUUACAUUCGUUAAGGAUGUUGACGUA
This 337-nucleotide ribosomal RNA is filed under the name uncultured fungus. Its description in RNAcentral is "LSU rRNA". Lineage: Eukaryota; Fungi. The record is from RNAcentral.